This 293-nucleotide long non-coding RNA is filed under the name Elaeis guineensis (African oil palm). Its description in RNAcentral is "long non-coding RNA (EGUI_LNC001589)". Lineage: Eukaryota; Viridiplantae; Streptophyta; Magnoliopsida; Arecales; Arecaceae. The record is from RNAcentral.
GGUUAUAUCUAGAUUUUUUAAAAUGAAACCAAAGAGGCCGAAGAUAUAUUAGUGGUGAAGAUGAUCGAUGGAACAAAAUUCAGCAUAUGUUAGAACUCAUAGAUGUUAGGAAAAGUUCUAUCAAGACUAAGUCUAUCGGUACACCUGACAAAGCACUUCGAACUCCUUCCAAUAGUGGAUGCACGAAAAGAACGUGCAUCAUUCUUUCACGCAAAACCUACAACCCCUCUCCAAAAAUGCCAAACCUAACUCAUUGCCUCACUGUUGGUUGUGGACGAAUCAAGAUAAGGACA